This 53-nucleotide non-coding RNA is filed under the name unclassified sequences. The record is from Rfam.
UGACCGCUCCCGCUGGGGGCUGAGGCUACACGGGCGGCCGGGUCAGAUGCCGA